RNAcentral lists this ribosomal RNA (514 nucleotides) under uncultured bacterium. RNAcentral describes it as "bacterial SSU rRNA". It matches the Rfam family "Bacterial small subunit ribosomal RNA", at positions 15 to 518 of the family's 1533-position model. The record is from RNAcentral.
GAUCCUGGCUUAGGAUGAACGCUGGCGGCGUGCCUAACACAUGCAAGUCGAACGGGACUAAUUAGAGAUGUUUCGGACUGAUCUUUUAGUUAGUGGCGGACGGGUGAGUAACGCGUGGACAACCUGCCUUCGACAGGGGGAUAGCAGCUGGAAACGGCUGGUAAUACCGCAUACGCUCGUGUCACCGCAUGGUGAUAUGGGGGAAAAGAUUUAUCGGUGAAAGAUGGAUCCGCGUCUGAUUAGCCAGUUGGCGGGGUAACGGCCCACCAAAGCGACGAUCAGUAGCCGGCCUGAGAGGGCGGACGGCCACAUUGGGACUGAGACACGGCCCAGACUCCUACGGGAGGCAGCAGUGGGGGAUAUUGCACAAUGGGCGCAAGCCUGAUGCAGCGACGCCCGCGUGAGUGAAGAAGUAUUUCGGUAUGUAAAGCUCUAUCAGCAGGGAAGAAAGGCCCGCAAGGGAGAUGACGGUACCUGACUAAGAAGCCCCGGCUAACUACGUGCCAGCCGCCGC